AUAGAGAUGUGAAUCCUUUUGUUUGAUGAUCUUAGAAAUAAUGUUCAGCUGCCUCCUGAUUCCAACCUCAUCAAGCCUGAAGUUAUGCCUAGCCUUCGUCAUGAAACCAACAAAGCACCAAAAAGCUUCAUGGUCCUCUGUCAUUACAGAAAUUAUGGGUGACAGCAAAUCGCUCAUCCCCUGGCAAUAACCAAUUUCAGGGUCAUAUAGCGCAUAGGCUUCAAGAAUGGAGACUAGCCGAGCAGCAUGUAGGAUCCUAGGGGGCUCUAGGUGUUCAUAGUCCUUCAACCCAACAGCCUCUGCAAAACGGUGUGCCCUGCUUUCUGAUACAACAGCUUGAGAUGGGGAGUAUGCUAUCCAUUCAGCGUUAGCACGAACUGCAUCAAGCCGAAUUAUUCGUUGCCAUGUAGCAAAAUCUUCUGCAUUGCAGGGCCGUGACUGAACUUCUGCCUUUGAAGGAGAAGAGUCCUCCUUAGAGUUCACUUCAGCAGUAUUCUCAUCCAUGCUUUCUGCCGAGGGGACAGUUUGACUGAUAUCAGGAUCUGCAGAGGAAUCUGAGUCUGAUGACUCGGAAUCAGAGACAUCAUUUGGCUCUGUAACUCGUUUGGAACUGGAAAAUUCAUCUGACAUUGUACCACCGGGAUUAUCAGAAUCCUCGACAUAUGUGCUCCGGUCCUCACUGGAGAGAGAUUCCCGGGCAGUAACAACAUCGUCAUAAUCAGGGGAAUCCAUCCCUUCAGUGAUAUUUCCUUCACCAUCGCUUCCCAUUCCACCAGUUUCCCUCAUUUUAGAGGUCCCAUUGCGUUUCAGCAGUCUGCGACAUUCUCUACGAUAGCUCUCAUAUUCCCUCCUCUUCUGAUUUCUUAUACAAUCUCUUUCUUCUUUAGAGCUGUUCAACUCAUAGACUCCCAGGAGAAAUGGCCAAACCUCGGCCCUGAUACUAGGAUCAACACCUCCACUUCGGACUUUCUUUAGAAAUUUAAUUCCACCAUCACGAAGUUUUCCUUCUGGUGUGAAAAAGCUUCUCCACUGUUGGGGCGCAAGAGCACGUUUUCUUUUUCUACGAGACCAUGGUGAUUUGAGAUGACCUCGAUCAGAUGAAGCACAGUAAGCUGGUGAAGAGGACGCAACAACAAAUAGAACUGAUCUCAAAUGAAUCCACGAGGAUGAUGACGCCGCCGUGGACGUCGCCGUCGCCGUCGCUGUCGAUGAUGAAUUUGAAGAAGGUGAAGGUGAAGGUGAAUUUGAAGACGAUGAAGUCUGACUUCGUUUGAGAGCUUUCAUUUACAAAGUAAUCACUCUACUCUUCAACAAAUUUCUAGGGUUUUCAACAAGUGAGAUUGACGUAAAAGAAACUGUGAUAACGUAAUUUCCUUUUCACAAUGAAAAAUUCAUCCGGUUAUUUUUUAAUUUUUUUUUAACUUAGCUAACGGCGGCGGGUAAUGCAAGUCCGGCCAAGGCCGUGAAAGCAAAAAGUACUACUCCGGCAUUAGAAAGGUGGUGGUUCAGCGAGAAACCACCGCUGC
This 1526-nucleotide unclassified non-coding RNA is filed under the name Hevea brasiliensis (rubber tree). The record is from RNAcentral. Lineage: Eukaryota; Viridiplantae; Streptophyta; Magnoliopsida; Malpighiales; Euphorbiaceae.